This 65-nucleotide microRNA precursor is filed under the name Canis lupus familiaris (dog). Its description in RNAcentral is "Cfa-Mir-17-P2c_pre stem-loop". It matches the Rfam family "mir-17 microRNA precursor family", at positions 11 to 80 of the family's 80-position model. From Rfam's summary of the family: This family represents the microRNA (miRNA) precursor mir-17, family, which includes mir-20, mir-91, and mir-103. miRNAs are transcribed as ~70nt precursors (modelled here) and subsequently processed by the Dicer enzyme to give a ~22nt product. The record is from RNAcentral. Lineage: Eukaryota; Metazoa; Chordata; Mammalia; Carnivora; Canidae.
UAAGGUGCAUCUAGUGCAGUUAGUGAAGCCGCUUAGAACCUACUGCCCUAAAUGCCCCUUCCGGC